UGAACUUUAUACUGUUGUCUCUGGCUCAAUCAUAUGCGUUCCCCAUCAGGCUGAACACGGAACAUUCAGUUUUUAGUCUUACAACUGCAGCAGCUACUGUAAUAUUUUUUUGACAACCAUUUUCUUAAUUUUCAUUACCUCUCUCAUCGCGUGUGGUUUUCACAGAUAAGGGAAAAAACUGGUAGAAGACUAACCUAGACUAGAAAGAAAGUGUACACUAAGACGAGAGCGUUUUCUUUGCUGUAAAGGAAAAAGAAAUGGAUGUUCGCUUUGGAUUACCGCAACUAAUUCUGAAGCUCUAGCAAUUACCUCCCGCCCUUUCCCCAGGAGCUGAAGAUUUCUCAAAACGCGUCACAAGAAAAAUGUGUUAAGAUUAGGUCCGUUGAAGCUGUCAGACACCCACACACAGGAAGAGAAGGGACUUUUUAGUAGCAAUCCAAGCAACUAGAUCCCAUUUGCACAACUCCAGGAGUGAAGUGGACAUUUUAAAGGGGUGGGGGGCUGGGGGUGAAGGGGCAGCUGUAUAAAAUCCCAAAGUUUACAUUCUUAAUCACCUGUUUCUAAAUGAUCUGUCUCAAAUAGUGAGGGGAACAUAUCCCGCCGUCCCCCCCGGUUGCUACGCCCCUGCACAACUCAAUAUCUUAAAUGAGCGAGUUUCAAAUCAAAUGAUAAAGUUCAAUGUUGAAUUAAAAUACAAAUUCCAUGUGAAAAAAAGUUUAAUAAAAAGCAUUAAAGCAAUAGAUGUACAUUAACAGCUGUGCAAAUGUAAAUGAUGUAAUAAAAUCUAAUGAAAACAGUGUGUUAAUUAUGAAAAAGAAGAGGUAAUGGAGAUUUUUUGAAUGAAUUGUUUUAAUUAAUAUUUUAAAUGUACAUUAUGUAGUUUUUGUCAAUAACUGGAUUUUAAUCAACUAAAACUGCAUGUCAUACGGAAAAAAUGAGUGUGUUUUACCUGCACAAAUUGUGAUCCUGAGCAUGAAGGUACACAUCCAAAUCUAAAAAAACAAUAUCAGCUGAGAGAAUAAAUGUCAUGCUUUUGUAAAUAUUAGUGCAAACAAAAUAGAAAACUAAAAAACUGAUCUUGCAAAAAUAUUUUCAGACAUCUGAUUAUAUGUUGUUAAUCUGGUGAUCCAUUUGGUUUGUAAUUUAUCGGUCAAUAAAAUUCAACACAACAGUAACACAAUACUUCAUACAAUGACAUUAGAAUUGCCAUCCUACAAACUCAUGUUAAAAAUAAAGCAUCUUACCUGUUGAA
Molecule: long non-coding RNA, 1252 nt
Organism: Danio aesculapii
Lineage: Eukaryota; Metazoa; Chordata; Actinopteri; Cypriniformes; Danionidae
Exons: 2
Source: RefSeq, a predicted model, not a curated record